CAUGGCCAGAAAUGGAGUCCAAAAUGGCUGCCAAGCAUGCGCAUUUUGACUCGAAAUAAAAAUUCAAAAUGGCGUCUUCUUAUAUAAUUUGAAUGGGAAUAAUGCAAAAUUUGUAUUUUUGAUAACUUACGGUUGAGAAAUCCAAAAUGUGCAUAUCUAAAACUUCACCGAUUCUGUCCAACUUUUAUCCGUAAAAUAAUUGGUAUCACUCGAGUUGUCUAAGUAUGUUCCCGAGCAAUCAAUAUCUCUGGUUAGUCUUUGCAUAGAAAAGUAUGUGAUUUCGACAUAUUCGGUAUUUUGCAGGUCCAAUUUCAACUCGUUCUUUACAGAUAUCAUCAAAUGUGCAUAUCUGAAUUGCUUCGUACAGUAUUCCUCUUUAUUAUUGUCACUUGUAUGAAGCGUAAAAGUAUACACUAGUAUGUUCCCCAAAGCGAUGAAUUGCAUGUAUUUUGUAGAGAGGUGUCUGUCCAAUUGUGAUGAAAAAUGCACCAUAUUUUUAACAAAAAUAUCACAAAUUUCGCACCAAGAGUUAUAUUUGUUGUCCGCCAUUGCUUUUAUAAAGCUGUUGCUGCGUUACAAUGGUUUUAACCGCUGUCAAUAUAGGCUGUAGUCUCGUAAACAUUCUAAAAUUCGCGGGAUUUCGUAAUAAUUUUGAUUUGCCGACUUCAAAACAUUUAUAACUAUUGAGUAUUGGUAGACUUUUGAAAUUUGAGCAUCGAUCAAGACUCGGUUGGCGUAAAGUUUGUUAUAUUUUAUAAUUUUGCUUGUUUUCUAUAUAUCUGGUUGUAUUUGCAAUGUCGGAUAUUCCGCCUUUGCGCCCUAUGUAUACUUGUUUGCAAUGGAAAUUAUGUGUUGAAAGCCAUUCAUUAGCUUAUCUCUUCUUAUUUUCAAUUU
Molecule: non-coding RNA, 894 nt
Organism: Paramuricea clavata
Lineage: Eukaryota; Metazoa; Cnidaria; Anthozoa; Malacalcyonacea; Plexauridae
Source: the annotation of a GenBank genome assembly